Molecule: ribosomal RNA, 1034 nt
Filed under: uncultured Actinomycetes bacterium
Lineage: Bacteria; Bacillati; Actinomycetota; Actinomycetes
Description: bacterial SSU rRNA
Rfam family: Bacterial small subunit ribosomal RNA
Source: RNAcentral
UCGCGGCCUAUCAGCUUGUUGGUGAGGUAAUGGCUCACCAAGGCGUCGACGGGUAGCCGGCCUGAGAGGGUGACCGGCCACACUGGGACUGAGACACGGCCCAGACUCCUACGGGAGGCAGCAGUGGGGAAUAUUGCACAAUGGGCGCAAGCCUGAUGCAGCAACGCCGCGUGAGGGACAACGGCCUUCGGGUUGUAAACCUCUUUUAGCAGGGAAGAGGCGAAAGUGACGGUACCUGCAGAAAAAGCGCCGGCUAACUACGUGCCAGCAGCCGCGGUAAUACGUAGGGCGCAAGCGUUAUCCGGAAUUAUUGGGCGUAAAGAGCUCGUAGGCGGUUUGUCGCGUCUGCUGUGAAAUCCCGAGGCUCAACCUCGGGUCUGCAGUGGGUACGGGCAGACUAGAGUGCGGUAGGGGAGAUUGGAAUUCCUGGUGUAGCGGUGGAAUGCGCAGAUAUCAGGAGGAACACCGAUGGCGAAGGCAGAUCUCUGGGCCGUAACUGACGCUGAGGAGCGAAAGGGUGGGGAGCAAACAGGCUUAGAUACCCUGGUAGUCCACCCCGUAAACGUUGGGAACUAGUUGUGGGGUCCAUUCCACGGAUUCCGUGACGCAGCUAACGCAUUAAGUUCCCCGCCUGGGGAGUACGGCCGCAAGGCUAAAACUCAAAGGAAUUGACGGGGACCCGCACAAGCGGCGGAGCAUGCGGAUUAAUUCGAUGCAACGCGAAGAACCUUACCAAGGCUUGGCAUAUACGAGAACGGGCCAGAAAUGGUCAACUCUUUGGACACUCGUAAACAGGUGGUGCAUGGUUGUCGUCAGCUCGUGUCGUGAGAUGUUGGGUUAAGUCCCGCAACGAGCGCAACCCUCGUUCUAUGUUGCCAGCACGUAAUGGUGGGAACUCAUGGGAUACUGCCGGGGUCAACUCGGAGGAAGGUGGGGAUGACGUCAAAUCAUCAUGCCCCUUAUGUCUUGGGCUUCACGCAUGCUACAAUGGCCGGUACAAAGGGCUGCAAUACCGUAAGGUGGAGCGAAUCCCA